ACCUUCUGGAACAGCAUCUGUCAACCCCAGAAGACUUCAGCAGCACCAUGAUAAACAACAAUGUCUUCCACUGUGGCUUUACAAAACCCUACCAGGUGGCUGUUUACAAUGAUUUGUCCCCUUCAGAGAUUUUUAUUCCACUGCAUUGAACUUAAGCAGCGUCUAGACCAGCAACACUCUCACAAUGCAAAGCAGUGGAGAUGAUCAGGAUCUUUACCGGAUCAAAACUGAGCAUAACCCAAGGUUCAUUCUAUGAAAGUACCAACAUCUGUCUCUAUAUAUUUUAGAUCUCAUAAUCAUAUGGUAUAUAGUGUAGUCAUAUC
Molecule: long non-coding RNA, 323 nt
Organism: Pogoniulus pusillus (Red-fronted tinkerbird)
Lineage: Eukaryota; Metazoa; Chordata; Aves; Piciformes; Lybiidae
Exons: 3
Source: RefSeq, a predicted model, not a curated record